GAUGAACGCUGGCGGCGUGCUUAACACAUGCGAGUCGAACGGAAAGGCCCAAGCUUGCUUGGGUACUCGAGUGGCGAACGGGUGAGUAACACGUGGGUGAUCUGCCCUGCACUUCGGGAUAAGCCUGGGAAACUGGGUCUAAUACCGGAUAGGACGAUGGUUUGGAUGCCAUUGUGGAAAGUUUUUUCGGUGUGGGAUGAGCUCGCGGCCUAUCAGCUUGUUGGUGGGGUAAUGGCCUACCAAGGCGUCGACGGGUAGCCGGCCUGAGAGGGUGUACGGCCACAUUGGGACUGAGAUACGGCCCAGACUCCUACGGGAGGCAGCAGUGGGGAAUAUUGCACAAUGGGCGCAAGCCUGAUGCAGCGACGCCGCGUGGGGGAUGACGGCCUUCGGGUUGUAAACUCCUUUCGCUAGGGACGAAGCGUUUUUGUGACGGUACCUGGAGAAGAAGCACCGGCUAACUACGU
RNAcentral lists this ribosomal RNA (467 nucleotides) under uncultured bacterium. RNAcentral describes it as "partial 16S ribosomal RNA". It matches the Rfam family "Bacterial small subunit ribosomal RNA", at positions 28 to 506 of the family's 1533-position model. The record is from RNAcentral.